This 495-nucleotide ribosomal RNA is filed under the name uncultured bacterium. RNAcentral describes it as "partial 16S ribosomal RNA". It matches the Rfam family "Bacterial small subunit ribosomal RNA", at positions 30 to 507 of the family's 1533-position model. The record is from RNAcentral.
UGAACGCUGGCGGCGUGCCUAAUACAUGCACGUCGAGCGAACGGACGCGAAGCUUGCUUCUCUGAUGUUAGCGGCGGACGGGUGAGUAACACGUGGAUAACCUACCUAUAAGACUGGGAUAACUUCGGGAAACCGUAGCUAAUACCGGAUAAUAUUUUGAACCGCAUGGUUCAAAAGUGAAAGACGGUCUUGCUGUCACUUAUAGAUGGAUCCGCGCUGCAUUAGCUAGUUGGUAAGGUAACGGCUUACCAAGGCAACGAUGCAUAGCCGACCUGAGAGGGUGAUCGGCCACACUGGAACUGAGACACGGUCCAGACUCCUACGGGAGGCAGCAGUAGGGAAUCUUCCGCAAUGGGCGAAAGCCUGACGGAGCAACGCCGCGUGAGUGAUGAAGGUCUUCGGAUCGUAAAACUCUGUUAUUAGGGAAGAACAUAUGUGUAAGUAACUGUGCACAUCUUGACGGUACCUAAUCAGAAAGCCACGGCUAACUACGUG